RNAcentral lists this ribosomal RNA (468 nucleotides) under uncultured bacterium. Its description in RNAcentral is "partial 16S ribosomal RNA". It matches the Rfam family "Bacterial small subunit ribosomal RNA", at positions 28 to 507 of the family's 1533-position model. The record is from RNAcentral.
GAUGAACGCUGGCGGCGUGCUUAACACAUGCAAGUCGAACGGAAAGGCCCAAGCUUGCUUGGGUACUCGAGUGGCGAACGGGUGAGUAACACGUGGGUGAUCUGCCCUGCACUUCGGGAUAAGCCUGGGAAACUGGGUCUAAUACUGGAUAGGACCACUUCUUGGAUGGUGUGGUGGAAAGUUUUUUCGGUGUGGGAUGAGCUCGCGGCCUAUCAGCUUGUUGGUGGGGUAAUGGCCUACCAAGGCGUCGACGGGUAGCCGGCCUGAGAGGGUGUACGGCGACAUUGGGACUGAGAUACGGCCCAGACUCCGACGGGAGGCAGCAGGGGGGAAGAUUGCACAAUGGGCGCAAGCCUGAUGCAGCGACGCCGCGGGGGGGAUGACGGCCUUCGGGUUGUAAACCCCUUUCGCUAGGGAAGAAGCGUUUUUGUGACGGUACCUGGAGAAGAAGCACCGGCUAACUACGUG